AACCAAAGAGGGAGAAAGAAGAUGCGGAGGAAGAGAAGAAGGAAUGGAGAGACCAUGUGGAAAGACCAGAAGGAACACACUGAAGGCCACUAACUUCUCUGUGAAAACAUCUUCUGCUGAAGAAAGAAUGAACUCAGAAACUGUAGCAGCUUUAGAAGAACACAUCCUUUGCCAUGUCUCAUGGCUUCUGCCCAUACUUAAAAAUAAAUUCAUAAGCUCACA
Mastomys coucha (southern multimammate mouse) is the source of this 222-nucleotide long non-coding RNA. RefSeq lists it as uncharacterized. The record is from RefSeq and is a predicted model, not a curated record. NCBI's taxonomy places the organism in Eukaryota, Metazoa, Chordata, Mammalia, Rodentia, Muridae. The transcript is spliced from 2 exons.